GGUUGCGAUCAUACCAGCACUAAUGCACCGUAUCCCAUCAGAACUCCGCAAUUAAGCGUGCUUAGGCGAGAGUAGUACUAGGAUAGGUGACCCCCUGGGAAGUCCUCGUGUUGCAACCC
This 119-nucleotide ribosomal RNA is filed under the name Helianthus annuus (common sunflower). The record is from RNAcentral. Lineage: Eukaryota; Viridiplantae; Streptophyta; Magnoliopsida; Asterales; Asteraceae.